GUUUGUUUGGAGUUAUAAAGAAUUUGACCUGCCCCCUGAUUAACUAUUAAAGGGCCGCAGUAUUAUAACUGUGCAAAGGUAGCAUAAUCAUUAGGUUUUUAAUUGAAAUCUCGUAUGAAUGGUUGGACAAAAGAAAAACUCUCUUUAUAUUAAGUUUUGAAUUUAACUUUUAAGUGAAAAGGCUUAAAUAUUCUAAAGGGACGAUAAGACCCUAUAAAACUUUACAUUGUUAUUAGUUUUGAUUGAAUUUAUGAAAUAAGAAUUAUUAUUUGAUUAUUUGUUAUGUUGGGGAGACACAAGUAAAAUAUUUUUUUAACUGCUUGACAAUUAUACAAUUAUUAGUGAGUAAGUAGAAGAUCCUUUUUAAGAUUAGUAGAUUAAGUUACUUUAGGGAUAACAGUGUAAUUUCUUUUGAGAGUUCUUAUCGAAAAAGAAGGUUGCAACCUCGAUGUUGAAUUAAAAUAUCUAUAUAAUGGAGAGGUUAUAUAAGAAGGUCUGUUCGACCUUGAAAUUUUUACAUGAUUUGAGUUCAAACCGGUGUGAG
Molecule: ribosomal RNA, 544 nt
Filed under: Sinopotamon sp. 1 YJ-2015
Lineage: Eukaryota; Metazoa; Arthropoda; Malacostraca; Decapoda; Potamidae
Description: partial 16S ribosomal RNA
Rfam family: Bacterial large subunit ribosomal RNA
Source: RNAcentral